GUGCAGAGAGACAGCUGACAGCAGCCCUUCUGGUGACACACCUGCGUAACAUAAUGCCCUAUACGGGUCAUAAACAGAAAGACAGCCUUCCUCCACACUUUAAAAGAUGCUCUGUGCUUUGAGAUAUUGGUUUGUGGGAAAAAGAUAACUAGUAUCAGUUUAGAAGGUGGCUGAAUAUAUAUAGCAAAGAUUGUUACAAAAAAUCUAUUUCAAAUAAAUGUUGUUUGUUUGAAUAUAAAUACACAAAUGAAUUACUUGUUUGUGUGUGUGUGUGUGUGUGUGUGUGUGUGUGUGUGUGUGUGUGUGUGUGUGUGUGUGUGUAACAAGCUAAAUGUAAACUUUUGUUGCCUGCAUCAACAUGUUGUUUUUUCUCUAGGUGACAGGUCGAAUGCACCUGAUCUUCCUGUUUAAAUCACAAUAUGCAUUAACCCUCCAAGGAUGCACCUACUUUUUGGACAGUGUCCAGAUGCAAGCCGCCAAACUUCUCAGAUAAACAACAGAAUGAUGCAUUCGACCUGUGGCAAGAAGGCAACAAAGGGCACACCCGGCAAGAAAAAUCACAUUCGUCUUGUCAUGCAGUUCCACCUCCAUCUGGCUCUCAGAAUUCCUGUGUGUUUACAUUGAAUCGCCUCAGGAGAUGAACUCAUUGGACGCCAAUUUAUCACCAAUGGGAUGGAAAACAGACUUCAAGGCUUGUUUUUUACACCACCGCACAGCAGUUUCUGCCAAAAUAUGCCUUGAUUCUCAUAUAAUCACAAAGUAUGCACAGAACCAGUCGCAACAUGGCAUCGCGUGACUCAACCUCUGAAUGCAGCUAUUGAGAGCGAUGUGUUGGCAAGAAAUAAAAUCUUUGAUGACUUGAUCCACCAAGCAUCUCCAGACAGAUGUUUGAUUGACAAGUGUUAUCAUUGAGGGAGUUAAAUGUGGGCUACAGUUAGACGGGUCACUACACUCUGUAUUGCUACAAGCAAACUAGCCUUCUGUGGGAUUGCUAAUUCAGUCAUACUACGUGUGGAGCACUGGUUUUAGUAAUUGAACUGAAAUUAUAACUAGAAUAAUCCGGAAUCUUAAAAACAGACAGUUACAAAUAAUGAAUGUUUUAUCAAUGCUUAAUUCAUGUCAGACCAAUAUUAAGUAAUGCAUGUUUUACAUUUAGGACUUUAUUAAUUUUACAGUACCUUUAAAAAUACUAUAUUUUUUAUAAUCAUUUAUAUCAAUAUCAAUAUUAAAAAU
Molecule: long non-coding RNA, 1233 nt
Organism: Cyprinus carpio carpio
Lineage: Eukaryota; Metazoa; Chordata; Actinopteri; Cypriniformes; Cyprinidae
Source: Ensembl